UACGUAGGGUGCAAGCGUUAAUCGGAAUUACUGGGCGUAAAGCGUGCGCAGGCGGUGAUGUAAGACAGAUGUGAAAUCCCCGGGCUCAACCUGGGAACUGCAUCCGAAACUGCCUUGCUAGAGUAUGGGAGAGGGAAGUGGAAUUUCCGGUGUAGCGGUGAAAUGCGUAGAUAUCGGAAGGAACAUCAGUGGCGAAGGCGACUUCCUGGACCAAUACUGACGCUCAGGUGCGAAAGCGUGGGGAGCAAACAGG
Molecule: ribosomal RNA, 253 nt
Filed under: uncultured bacterium
Lineage: Bacteria
Description: partial 16S ribosomal RNA
Rfam family: Bacterial small subunit ribosomal RNA
Source: RNAcentral